RNAcentral lists this ribosomal RNA (801 nucleotides) under Flavobacterium sp. B223. Its description in RNAcentral is "partial 16S ribosomal RNA". Lineage: Bacteria; Pseudomonadati; Bacteroidota; Flavobacteriia; Flavobacteriales; Flavobacteriaceae. The record is from RNAcentral.
CUUAUCACUUUCGCUUAGCCACUGAGAUUGCUCCCAACAGCUAGUAUCCAUCGUUUACGGCGUGGACUACCAGGGUAUCUAAUCCUGUUCGCUACCCACGCUUUCGUCCAUCAGCGUCAAUCCAUUAGUAGUAACCUGCCUUCGCAAUUGGUAUUCCAUGUAAUCUCUAAGCAUUUCACCGCUACACUACAUAUUCUAGUUACUUCCUAAUAAUUCAAGUUUAACAGUAUCAAUGGCCGUUCCACCGUUGAGCGAUGGGCUUUCACCACUGACUUAUUAAACCGCCUACGGACCCUUUAAACCCAAUGAUUCCGGAUAACGCUUGGAUCCUCCGUAUUACCGCGGCUGCUGGCACGGAGUUAGCCGAUCCUUAUUCUUACGAUACCGUCAAGCUCCUAUACAUAGGAGUGUUUCUUCUCGUACAAAAGCAGUUUACAAUCCAUAGGACCGUCAUCCUGCACGCGGCAUGGCUGGAUCAGGCUUGCGCCCAUUGUCCAAUAUUCCUCACUGCUGCCUCCCGUAGGAGUCUGGUCCGUGUCUCAGUACCAGUGUGGGGGAUCUCCCUCUCAGGACCCCUACCCAUCGUAGCCUUGGUAAGCCGUUACCUUACCAACUAGCUAAUGGGACGCAUGCUCAUCUUUUACCGUUGUGACUUUAAUUGCUCGAUGAUGCCAUCAUGCAAUGCUAUGAGGUAUUAAUCCAAAUUUCUCUGGGCUAUCCCUCUGUAAAAGGCAGAUUGCAUACGCGUUACGCACCCGUGCGCCGGUCUCUAUAUCCGAAGACAUAUACCCCUCGACUUGC